CAAAAUAUAGCUUAAAUAAAGCACUUUGUUUACACCAAAGAAAUAUUUAUUAACACAAAUUAUUUUGA
This 68-nucleotide transfer RNA is filed under the name Desmognathus aeneus. RNAcentral's name for it is "tRNA-Val". The record is from RNAcentral. Lineage: Eukaryota; Metazoa; Chordata; Amphibia; Caudata; Plethodontidae.